GUGGCGCAUCCCUCGGUACCUCUCUCUGCCUGCGCACCAUAAACACCCAGACUACAGGGCCAUACCUGUCUCUUCUUGGUCUCCCCAGCAUCCUGCAGAUUAGUGGCCCUUCAGACACUUUGCACCCCAGUAGGGGGUGGGGAGGCUGGUGGAAAGUGAGCCCUGUGGCUCCUGGAGAAGCGGCGAGCAGCAGGCAGUGUUACACAAGGGUCCUCCCAACCCAGCUGACCUCACCAGGUCAUUCAUGCAAGAAUGCGGGGCCAAUGGGUUUCUGCCAGGCGUGCCAGGGCUGAGGGCACCCCUGGGUCCUCACAGCCCCCACUGUCCAGGGACAGCAGAGUCCUCCUUCCCUUUGCCAUUUCCAUGUUUCUCAUUUCAAUAAUUCUUGCAGCCCAUGUUGUGUAAAUAAAAUUAUUCUUCCCAAAAAAAUCGUUAGCAG
This 439-nucleotide long non-coding RNA is filed under the name Homo sapiens (human). RNAcentral describes it as "long non-coding RNA NONHSAT222323". The record is from RNAcentral. Lineage: Eukaryota; Metazoa; Chordata; Mammalia; Primates; Hominidae.